UGCCAGACUCCUACGGGAGGCAGCAGUGGGGAAUAUUGCACAAUGGGGGAAACCCUGAUGCAGCGACGCCGCGUGAGUGAAGAAGUAUCUCGGUACGUAAAGCUCUAUCAGCAGGGAAGAAAAUGACGGUACCUGACUAAGAAGCCCCGGCUAACUACGUGCCAGCAGCCGCGGUAAUACGUAGGGGGCAAGCGUUAUCCGGAUUUACUGGGUGUAAAGGGAGCGUAGACGGCCGUGCAAGCCAGGAGUGAAAGCCCGGGGCCCAACCCCGGGACUGCUCUUGGAACUGUGCGGCUGGAGUGCGGGAGGGGCAGGCGGAAUUCCUGGUGUAGCGGUGAAAUGCGUAGAUAUCAGGAGGAACACCGGCGGCGAAGGCGGCCUGCUGGACCGCGACUGACGUUGAGGCUCGAAAGCGUGGGGAGCAAACAGGAUUAGAUACCCCAGUA
RNAcentral lists this ribosomal RNA (446 nucleotides) under uncultured bacterium. Its description in RNAcentral is "bacterial SSU rRNA". It matches the Rfam family "Bacterial small subunit ribosomal RNA", at positions 329 to 792 of the family's 1533-position model. The record is from RNAcentral.